Molecule: long non-coding RNA, 356 nt
Filed under: Setaria italica (foxtail millet)
Lineage: Eukaryota; Viridiplantae; Streptophyta; Magnoliopsida; Poales; Poaceae
Description: long non-coding RNA (SITA_LNC000446)
Source: RNAcentral
GUGCUUAGGCACCGAGUUCCCCUGCGACGUGCAGAAGAGGGUCCAGCCGAAGAGCCACAGCAGGUACGCCUCCAAGUGACGCGCUACUGUGGCCUCGUUUGCGUCCUCUCUCAUGUACUCGGCCUGCAAAACAAUUUCAGACUUGUGUCAACAAUAAGAAAAAUUGACAAAAAUUAUUUGGACUUCCUGCUAAUUAAAUAUUCACACUGAACUGCUGGAACCAUGCCUUCGUCGGGCCGUGGGAGUUGCUAAAAGUGUGGUACUGCGGGGCACCGUCUACGCGGGGAAUGUCCGCAAACCGACCCAGCAGCUUGUCACGCCAGACAGGUAGGACGUCCAUCGCGGCUACGGCGGCU